Molecule: ribosomal RNA, 1101 nt
Filed under: uncultured organism
Description: bacterial SSU rRNA
Rfam family: Bacterial small subunit ribosomal RNA
Source: RNAcentral
UGGCUCAGGAUGAACGCGAGCGGGAGGCUUAACACAUGCAAGUCGAGGGGCAUCACGAGGUAGCAAUACUUUGGUGGCGACCGGCGCACGGGUGAGUAACGCGUAUGCAACCUGCCUAUUACAGGAGGAUAGCUUCCGGAAACGGAAAUUAAUACUCCAUAAAGUUUUAAUAAGGCAUCUUAUAAAAAUUAAAGCUCCGGCGGUAAUAGAUGGGCAUGCGUAACAUUAGCUAGUUGGUAAGGUAACGGCUUACCAAGGCAACGAUGUUUAGGGGUCCUGAGAGGGUAACCCCCCACACUGGUACUGAGACACGGACCAGACUCCUACGGGAGGCAGCAGUGAGGAAUAUUGGUCAAUGGGCGCAAGCCUGAACCAGCCAUCCCGCGUGCAGGAAGACGGCCCUAUGGGUUGUAAACUGCUUUUCUGAGGGAAGAAUAGUUUUGAUUCGUUCAAGACAUGACGGUACCUCAGGAAUAAGCAUCGGCUAACUCCGUGCCAGCAGCCGCGGUAAUACGGAGGAUGCAAGCGUUAUCCGGAUUUAUUGGGUUUAAAGGGUGCGUAGGCGGACCUGUAAGUCAGUGGUGAAAUCCUGCAGCUUAACUGUAGCAUUGCCAUUGAAACUGUAGGUCUUGAGUUAGGUUGAGGUAGGCGGAAUGUGUAAUGUAGCGGUGAAAUGCUUAGAUAUUACACAGAACACCGACUGCGUAGGCAGCUUACUGGACCUUAACUGACGCUGAGGCACGAAAGCGUGGGGAGCGAACAGGAUUAGAUACCCUGGUAGUCCACGCCGUAAACUAUGAUUACUCGUUGUUGGCAAUACACAGUCAGCGACCAAGCGAAAGCGAUAAGUAAUCCACCUGGGGAGUACGCUCGCAAGAGUGAAACUCAAAGGAAUUGACGGGGGCCCGCACAAGCGGUGGAACAUGUGGUUUAAUUCGAUGAUACGCGAGGAACCUUACCUGGGCUUAAAUGUAGACUGCAUAGUGUGGAAACGCACUUUUCUUUCGAGACUGUUUACAAGGUGCUGCAUGGUUGUCGUCAGCUCGUGCCGUGAGGUGUCGGGUUAAGUCCGCUAACGAGCGCAACCCUCGCCGUAUGUUA